Lathyrus oleraceus (garden pea) is the source of this 2963-nucleotide RNA transcript. It is a transcript of the gene named methyl-CpG-binding domain-containing protein 8, with no coding region annotated. The transcript has 5 exons. Lineage: Eukaryota; Viridiplantae; Streptophyta; Magnoliopsida; Fabales; Fabaceae. The record is from RefSeq and is a predicted model, not a curated record.
GAAGGCUAUUUAGAAGAGAAGCAGCAUUGCACACUCUGCACCAAUUCCCUUCUCUUUCUCUUUCUCUUCCUCUCAAUUCAGAUUCAGUUACGGUGGCAAACCGCAAAGCGGUUAUGGAGGCCACUUCUGAGUCUUCCGACCCCAAAGCCGUUAAUCUUCCCGUCAUUGAUCUCCGCCUUGUAUCUCAAUCGGAGCUAUACACUAUCUCCCUUUCGCACGCUACCGGCUGUAACCGUCGCAUCGACGAAGAUUGCGUUAUCCCUAAAAUUGACCGUUCGGUUUUCAAAGAGUCCACCGGUAGCCGGAAACAGACGUUCUCUCGUCUCCGUCUGUUUCCUCGUAACAACAAUAACCCGUACUCUCCCGUUCCUGCUGCUGUCGCUCCUGUUGCUGUUGUUCCCGCUCCUUCGUCUUCGUCUUCCCGCAUUGCCGCUGACGGAGAGAAUUCGCAAAUAAUCGAUCUCCUGCAAGAACUAUUCGGCGUUGAACCUCUCCGCGGCGCGUAUAAUGAUCAUGCUGUUCCGUUGCAAGUUGAGUUCAAACAACCGGCUCUUGAAUUUACGCCUCAGGCUGUUCAGAAUGUUCCGAUUGAUGGUAGUCAGACAAAGCGGAAGCGCGGAAGGCCUCGCAAGAGCGAGACUCCGGGCAGUGAGGCUCUUUUAGCCAUUUGCGAUGGUAAUGGGAAGGCGAUGGAAACGGAUGAUGAGAAGAAGGUAGAAACUGUUAAUGGCAAGAAGAAGAAGGUGGAAACGGAAAAUGAGAAGAAAGUGGAAGCGGCUAAGGAAAAGCAGGGGUUUGUUCUGGAGGAUGCUGGGGAUCCAUUUGUGGAGGAGUUGAUUGUGAGGACACAAGGGAUGAAUACGGAGCCAGAGUUGCUGGAGUUUUUGGAGGGUUUGAAUGGAGUUUGGGGAAGUGAUAGGAAGAAGAGGAGGAUUGUUGAUGCUAGUUGUCUCCGUGAUGUGCUGCCAACUGGAUGGAAACUCAUACUUACUCUUCAGAGGAGAGGGAGUCGAGCAUCGGUGUUAUGUCGCCGAUACGUAAGCCCUGACGGAGGCCAGUUUGAGACAUACAAGGACGUUUCUUCAUACUUGGUUUCUUUGUUCAAUGUUCAAGAUGCGGGCGAGUUAAAAUCUUGUUAUACUGAUGGUAGUAAGCAGUUCUCCAGUAAUAUCAAUAUAUCUGAAAAUCAGAUUAUUGGUCACGUCCCUACAGGCGGCAUUAAGAUCGAUGCCAGUGAAAGUUCUCAUCAUGAGAAGCAGGCCACCAUAUCAUCACCAAUUGGAGCUGAAAAGCGAAACACUUCUGAUGGGAAAUUAAAUGGUGACCUGGAAGCUAUGGAUUGUGAACUAGGUGAUGCCACCAAUGGAGCCUUUAGAGUCUCUGACCAUCCAACUGACGAUAAGCUACCACUGAAGGCAGAUAAGAAAGAUGCAAACUCAGUUCAGGAAUCCUUUCUUUCAGAGGACAGAGUUUAUAAUCAGAGUGUUGGUCCCAUCCCUACAUGUGGCAUGAAGAUUGAUGCCAAUACAAGUUCUCAUCAGAGGCAGGCCACCUUGUCAUCAUCAAUUGGAGCUGGAUGCUAUAAAACUGUUCCCUAUGGAAAUGAGCAAGUACGUGUUGGUGACAACGGGCUUGGGCUUUCCGCCACAUUAAUGGAAAACCACAUUCAGAAAAUAGCUUCUGAAAGCAGCAUGCUGGUUCCAAAUUCUCAAGAUAUUUCUACUAAUGGUAAACUUCAGUUUUGUCCAGAAGGCUCUUUUGUCCCAUCCCAGAAUGAACUUAACCAUACAUCUAUAGAGAGUAUGGAUAGGGAACAAACUUUUGAGCUGAAGGACUCUGCUGGGGCAAAAAAAAAUUAUAAUGAUUUACCUGGCUCGUCCACUGAUGAGAAAACAUGGGAUCACAAUGAUGAAUAUAUGGAUAAUAUUUCUUUUGAUCCCUGGCAACAAGAUGCACCUGUGUCUGAUGUAAUUGAUUAUACUCCCAAUCUUUAUGUAACUAAUGGUGUUAGUGACGAUCAUGCUCUUCCAUUGGACGAAGUUGCGACAAGCUCUUUACAAAAAAUGAGUUCUCUGAAUGACCAAAUUUGCACAAUGGACAAGCUGUUGCACAGAAGGUCUGAAAGUAACUUAUUUACCGUAGCCGGGAGUCAGCCCCCUUCUGCCCUCCAUGAUAAUAUGAAUAACAUCUCAGCUGGAGCCUUUGGUGCAGUCAAACAUGUUGAUGCAUCUCCUAGGGUCUUGCAGGGGGGAUCACAAUCUGUUUCUCCUGGUGGAAAUAUGUUAAACCAGUUUGACAAGAAAAAUGAUGAUGGAGUUAAUAAUGGAAAUACAUCUUGCUUAUCAGGUAUUCACAAAUAGCAGCCUGGCUGGAUUCAAAUGUGUCCUCAGAUGCAGUACAUGAAACAAUUUUAAAAAUAAAACAUGUAUGGUAGUUUGCAGAGUCUGCCUGUAAAUUAUCAAUUUUUGGCUCAGGAUGAUAGCCUAGGAAAGGAACUUUGUGGUGGCUGUAAGGUGUUGAAUUUGACGCCAAAAUUAGCUGUGAUACAUUCAUGGCGGUCUAGGAGCCUCUGACUUGAGAUCAUGGAAAAGCCAUGUUCUAGCCAAUUAGAUAAGUAUAGCUACAUUUAUAAUCAUAUUAUAGUACCUUGUGUUGCUUUUUGAGUAAAGGUGUAUCGAUGUUUUCUCUAUAAGCUUCUCGCCUCACAUUAUUUUUGAGGGACCUGUGAAAACAGUUAUGUGGAGGAUUGGAUUUUAUGCUGUGAAUAGGACUGACUGACUAACAUGUUUUAAGAUUGUGUCCAAAUUUAAAAACGAUUGAGCUUAUGAACCUUAACUUGAACUAAGUUUUGUUCUUUUGCUAAAUAAGUACUCUAGGAAAUGUACUAUUCUCUACUUGCAUGCUUUAUUUUUUAAAGCUAAUAGUUUCUGUUCUACUGUUUUCUUCCUCCUUUACUAAUUUUG